This 513-nucleotide ribosomal RNA is filed under the name uncultured bacterium. Its description in RNAcentral is "partial 16S ribosomal RNA". It matches the Rfam family "Bacterial small subunit ribosomal RNA", at positions 28 to 523 of the family's 1533-position model. The record is from RNAcentral.
GACGAACGCUGGCGGCGUGCCUAAUACAUGCAAGUUGAGCGCUGAAGGUUGGUACUUGUACCGACUGGAUGAGCAGCGAACGGGUGAGUAACGCGUGGGGAAUCUGCCUUUGAGCGGGGGACAACAUUUGGAAACGAGUGCUAAUACCGCAUAAAAACUUUAAACACAAGUUUUAAGUUUGAAAGAUGCAAUUGCAUCACUCAAAGAUGAUCCCGCGUUGUAUUAGCUAGUUGGUGAGGUAAAGGCUCACCAAGGCGAUGAUACAUAGCCGACCUGAGAGGGUGAUCGGCCACAUUGGGACUGAGACACGGCCCAAACUCCUACGGGAGGCAGCAGUAGGGAGUCUUCGGCAAUGGACGAAAGUCUGACCGAGCAACGCCGCGUGAGUGAAGAAGGUUUUCGGAUCGUAAAACUCUGUUGGUAGAGAAGAACGUUGGUGAGAGUGGAAAGCUCAUCAAGUGACGGUAACUACCCAGAAAGGGACGGCUAACUACGUGUCAGCAGCCGCGGUAA